CAAUAGCGUAUAUUAACGUUGUUGCAGUUAAAAAGCUCGUAGUUGAAUUUCUGGCGGGCGCGCCGGUCUUCCAAGUGUUGUACUGGGCGCAGUCCGCCAUCCUUGUGGAGAGGGCUCGCAUUGAGUUGCGUGUCGGAUCUGCAUCAUUUACUGUGAAAAAAUUAGAGUGUUUAAAGCAGGCUGUCGCUUGAAUACAUUAGCAUGGAAUAAUAAGAUAGGACUUCGGUCUAUUUUGUUGGUUGCGAACCGAGGUAAUGAUUAAUAGGGAUAGUUGGGGGUAUUCAUAUUUAAUUGUCAGAGGUGAAAUUCUUGGAUUUAUGAAAGAUGAACAACUGCGAAAGCAUUUACCAAGGAUGUUUUCAUUAA
This 366-nucleotide ribosomal RNA is filed under the name uncultured eukaryote. Its description in RNAcentral is "partial 18S ribosomal RNA". It matches the Rfam family "Eukaryotic small subunit ribosomal RNA", at positions 592 to 976 of the family's 1831-position model. The record is from RNAcentral.